Long non-coding RNA from Solanum lycopersicum (tomato), 652 nucleotides. RefSeq lists it as uncharacterized. NCBI's taxonomy places the organism in Eukaryota, Viridiplantae, Streptophyta, Magnoliopsida, Solanales, Solanaceae. The record is from RefSeq and is a predicted model, not a curated record.
UUUGUCUUUACAUAUAGCUAAUUGUGUCCAUAACUCAAAACCUACAUGGCCUUAUAAAGCAAAUCAAAUCUCUUCCUCUUCAACUUAUCACUUGCCUUAUUCUUUCAUAUCAUUGUAGAAAGAAGGAAGACAAGUGGAGAGAUCUAGAGUUAUAAAUAAUAUAUAGAAAAAACAACAACAAUUAGUAGUCAUGUCUAGCAGAAGAAGAUCAAAUAAUAAUUCAAGAUUCACUCAAGAUGAGAUUAGUGAUCUUGUUUUGAAAUUACAAUCUCUCUUGCCAAAUUCCUUUUCAAGGUGCACCACCACGGUAACAUCAUCAUCAAAGAUACUAGAAGAAGCAUGUAAUUACAUAAGAAAACUACACAAUGAGGUGGAUGAUCUAAGUGAGAAGUUAUCUCAAGUACUCCCUUCUGUGGAUAGCAAUAAUAUUGAUCUUAUACACACUUUGUUAAGUCUUCUUCAACAGUAAAUUAAAGCCCACGGAUCUAGGCAUCUCUUAGUGGUUGUUAAGUUUUUUUUAAAAAUAUAUAAUAUUAAAAUAUAAUAUAAAAUGUCUACCUAGAGUUUUAUAUAAUGUCUCAGUUACUACUAUAUAUAUAUAUCUUAAUAAUGUAAUCUUGUAAUGUUAUAAAUAAGACAUUAUUUUAAAUCA